This 253-nucleotide ribosomal RNA is filed under the name uncultured bacterium. Its description in RNAcentral is "partial 16S ribosomal RNA". It matches the Rfam family "Bacterial small subunit ribosomal RNA", at positions 524 to 776 of the family's 1533-position model. The record is from RNAcentral.
UACGGGGGGGGCAAGCGUUGUUCGGAAUUACUGGGCGUAAAGGGCUCGUAGGUGGCCAACUAAGUCAGACGUGAAAUCCCUCGGCUUAACCGGGGAACUGCGUCUGAUACUGGAUGGCUUGAGUUUGGGAGAGGGAUGCGGAAUUCCAGGUGUAGCGGUGAAAUGCGUAGAUAUCUGGAGGAACACCGGUGGCGAAGGCGGCAUCCUGGACCAACACUGACACUGAGGCACGAAAGCUAGGGGAGCAAACGGG